Molecule: long non-coding RNA, 2136 nt
Organism: Ictalurus punctatus (channel catfish)
Lineage: Eukaryota; Metazoa; Chordata; Actinopteri; Siluriformes; Ictaluridae
Source: Ensembl
CAUAGCAUAAAUAAACCCCAUUAACAAUUCAACCAAUGGAAGGUCCUCGCAAGGGUAGUCAGACGUGUACGUGUGUGUGUUUGCGUGGAUGAAUAUCUCAGAACAGAUUCUGUCAGGCUUUAACGGUUUGCUCCGGUCAACGGCGUUAAGUCACAUCAGAUAACCGGUAAAGGUUCAAGACGUCUGAUUAUUACUUUAGAUCUGCUCUCCUGCCUGCCUGCUCUUUCAUCUGGCAACCACAUCAGCUCAGUGAAGUGCUCCAGAGCUUUCUCCAGCACUCAUUCACGUGGAAGUAGUACACACACACCAUGAUAAUUACCAGUCAUGACCGCUCAGCGUCAUGUGUUUUUCUCCCCAAAGCAUGUCCCUCUGUGUUUACUCAGCCAUGUGUGUGGUUUCUGUAACUCAGCCCCGUGUGUAACGUCUCUCAUCGACACGUCGGCGAGUUUUCACUUCGGUUAAUGUUUUCCUACACUACCCACUACGCCAUCCGACCGCCUGCUGAUCGUGGCGCCACCGGGAACAUCUCCUCAUCUCUGUUUAACGAGAGCGGUUGCAGCGGCGCUUUAGUCCUUUCGUAUGUCCAGGUCUCUCUCGCCUCCGCAUCCAAACAGAACUUCGCGGCCGUCGUCCUGUAGAUCUCCGACUAGCCGGGCGGAUUCUCCGCCGUAACUCGGCGAAGCGACAUCGUAUAACCGCGCUGCAUUCUGGGACUCCGAGUCCAGCGUUUGCUUCGCCGUGUUGGAUUUCUUAUUAAUAUUGUGAGUGGGGAAAAUAUCUCUUUUGUUUUCCCAAAUAUUGAGUAUAUUUAUGCAUUGCCUUUCCAUGACCGAUAUUCUGUAAAUGGUGCAGGGGCCAAAGGUCAUUAGGUAACCUGAUGCAGGACGUGCAUGCACCUGUCCAUCGUGACUCCAUGGAUCGUAAAUAAAUUAUUUUAUCAUUCAGGUUGGCGAGUCUCGUGAACUUUGCUCUAAGGCGUUCAGUGUUUUCGGGAAUUUAUGACAGACUUCAAAUAUUUCCCUUUUUUUUUUUUUCUUUUUUUUUUUCCGGUUGUCUAUUUAAAGUAACAUCCAGUGACACGCAAUCACGACAAAACAAACAACCAAAGUGCAGAACGCAUCAGAGGAAGAACAGGGUAUCCGUUAUUCAUUUUUGCUCGUGUUGUACGCUCGCUAUCCAACCAUUUUUUUGCCUUUAUUUUCGUGGCACUCGUCGGUGGAAAUUAUUAGGAGCAAAAUGUCCGUGUGCAGUGAACACGUCGAGAGUGAAGGUGCUGCAGCUGUGUGUCUGAUCUGAUCACGCGAGCCUCGUUCGCAGGAGGAAGAUCUCCUAAUAUUUCUCGAUUUCGUGAACGUAACUGAAUUUGAAUGCGGCCAUCUAGACUGUCUGCCUCACAAAAUGCCUUGAAGCAUCAUCUGUGUGUGUGUGUGCGCGUGUGUGUGUGCGUGACAUAAACACAUACACGAUGGACUUGACUGUUAUAUGAAUAGAUACAGGUAUAACUUAUGAAUGAGAGAGACAGAGAGUGAGUGAGAGAGAGAUACUGAGAGAGAUAGUGUGAGAGCGAGAGAGUGAGAGAGAUAGUGAGUGUGUGUGUGAGAGAGAUAGUGAGUGUGAGAGAGAUAGUGAGAGAGAUAGUGAGAAGAGAUAGUGAGUGUGAGAGAGAGAUAGUGAGUGUGAGAGAGAUAGUGAGAGAGAUAGUGAGUGUGAGAGAGAGAUAGUGAGAGAGAGAUAGUGAGAUAGUGAGUGUGAGAGAGAGAUAGUGAGAGAGAGAGAGAUAGUGAGUAAGAGAGAGAUAGUGAGAGAGAGAUAGUGAGUGUGAGAGAGAUAGUGAGUGUGAGAGAGAGAGAUAGUGAGUGUGAGAGAGAGAGAUAGUGUGUGAGAGAGAGAGAUAGUGUGUGUGAGAGAGAGAUAGUGAGUGAGAGAGAGAGAUAGUGAGUGUGAGAGAGAGAUAGUGAGUGUGAGAGAGAGAGAUAGUGUGUGAGAGAGAGAGAGAUAGUGUGUGAGAGAGAGAUAGUGUGAGAGAGACAGAGAGAGAGAAUUUCUAUUACGACUGGAAGAUAUAAUGUUGAUAAUAUCGUCACGUCUGUAACACUGAUACUGAGUAACACCUUCAUUGUUCCUCACUAAUUACUA